CUCCUACGGGAGGCAGCAGUGGGGAAUAUUGCACAAUGGGCGGAAGCCUGAUGCAGCAACGCCGCGUGCGGGAUGACGGCCUUCGGGUUGUAAACCGCUUUCGCCUGUGACGAAGCGUGAGUGACGGUAAUGGGUAAAGAAGCACCGGCUAACUACGUGCCAGCAGCCGCGGUGAUACGUAGGGUGCGAGCGUUGUCCGGAUUUAUUGGGCGUAAAGGGCUCGUAGGUGGUUGAUCGCGUCGGAAGUGUAAUCUUGGGGCUUAACCCUGAGCGUGCUUUCGAUACGGGUUGACUUGAGGAAGGUAGGGGAGAAUGGAAUUCCUGGUGGAGCGGUAGAAUGCGCAGAUAUCAGGAGGAACACCAGUGGCGAAGGCGGUUCUCUGGGCCUUUCCUGACGCUGAGGAGCGAAAGCGUGGGGAGCGAACAGGCUUAGAUACCCUGGUAGUCCACGCUGUAAACGGUGGGUACUAGGUGUGGGGUCCAUUCCACGGGUUCCGUGCCGUAGCUAACGCUUUAAGUACCCCGCCUGGGGAGUACGGCCGCAAGGCUAAAACUCAAAGGAAUUGACGG
Molecule: ribosomal RNA, 570 nt
Filed under: uncultured bacterium
Lineage: Bacteria
Description: bacterial SSU rRNA
Rfam family: Bacterial small subunit ribosomal RNA
Source: RNAcentral